AUGGCUGCAAGGAGAACCAUUCUUCUUGCCAUGGCUGCCAUGGCCAUCCUGAGCACGGCGUCUGAGGCAACCUACAACAACUUCCAAACCGGCGACCAGAUCGUCUUCAAGUACUCCCCUCAGGCACACAACGUCCUCGAGGCCAGCAAGGCCGACUAUGACUCAUGUAGCACCGCCAGCCCCGUCACCAGCUUCAACUCCGGGAAUGAUGUUGCUAGCCUCACCGCCACCGGCACCCGCUACUUCAUCUGCGGUUUCCCUGGUCAUUGCGCGGGCGGCAUGAAGGUUAAGAUUGAUGUCAUGCCAGGCUCCUCCUCUACGUCACCCGCCCCGGCCAGCGGCCCAAGUGCAACCAACGCGCCCCCACCGACACCUGUCUCCACUGCCACCAAUGUGGAGGCCACUGGGUUUGGCCUCGCCGUUUUGCUUGCCAUUGUCGGCCUCAUGGCUUGA
This 453-nucleotide ribosomal RNA is filed under the name Triticum aestivum (bread wheat). Its description in RNAcentral is "partial small subunit ribosomal RNA". Lineage: Eukaryota; Viridiplantae; Streptophyta; Magnoliopsida; Poales; Poaceae. The record is from RNAcentral.